This 253-nucleotide ribosomal RNA is filed under the name uncultured bacterium. RNAcentral describes it as "partial 16S ribosomal RNA". It matches the Rfam family "Bacterial small subunit ribosomal RNA", at positions 524 to 776 of the family's 1533-position model. The record is from RNAcentral.
UACAUGGGGUGCAAACGUUGCUCGGAAUUAUUGGGCGUAAAGCGCACGUAGGCGGUUCGUUAAGUCGGAUGUGAAAGCCCUCGGCUCAACUGAGGAAGUGCACCCGAAACUGGCGAGCUUGAGUACGAAAGAGGAUCGCGGAAUUCCCGGUGUAGAGGUGAAAUUCGUAGAUAUCGGGAGGAACACCAGUGGCGAAGGCGAUCACCUGGGGUUGUUCUGACGCUGAGGAGCGAAAGCUAGGGGAGCAAACGGG